GAUGAACGCUGGCUACAGGCUUAACACAUGCAAGUCGUGGGGAAACGGCAUUAUGUGCUUGCACAUUCUGGACGUCGACCGGCGCACGGGUGAGUAUCGCGUAUCCAACCUGCCCCUUACUUGGGGAUACCCCGUUGAAAGACGGCCUAAUACCCGAUGUGUUUCAUUGACGGCAUCCGAUAUGAAACAAAGGUUUUCCGGUAAGGGAUGGGGAUGCGUCUGAUUAGCUAGUUGGCGGGGCAACGGCCCACCAAGGCGACGAUCAGUAGGGGUUCUGAGAGGAAGGUCCCCCACAUUGGAACUGAGACACGGUCCAAACUCCUACGGGAGGCAGCAGUGAGGAAUAUUGGUCAAUGGACGCAAGUCUGAACCAGCCAAGUAGCGUGCAGGAUGACGGCCCUAUGGGUUGUAAACUGCUUUUAUGUGGGAAUAAAUUGGCGCACGUGUGCGCCAUUGCAUGUACCUCAUGAAUAAGGACCGGCUAAUUCCGUGCCAGCAGCCGCGGUAAUACGGAAGGUCCGGGCGUUAUCCGGAUUUAUUGGGUUUAAAGGGAGUGUAGGCGGUCUGUUAAGCGUGUUGUGAAAUUUAGGUGCUCAACAUUUAACUUGCAGCGCGAACUGUCAGACUUGAGUACACGCAGCGCAGGCGGAAUUCAUGGUGUAGCGGUGAAAUGCUUAGAUAUCAUGAGGAACUCCGAUCGCGAAGGCAGCCUGCGGGAGUGUUACUGACGCUUAAGCUCGAAGGUGCGGGUAUCGAACAGG
This 761-nucleotide ribosomal RNA is filed under the name Prevotella nigrescens. RNAcentral's name for it is "bacterial SSU rRNA". It matches the Rfam family "Bacterial small subunit ribosomal RNA", at positions 28 to 776 of the family's 1533-position model. Lineage: Bacteria; Pseudomonadati; Bacteroidota; Bacteroidia; Bacteroidales; Prevotellaceae. The record is from RNAcentral.